Non-coding RNA from Cyanistes caeruleus (blue tit), 669 nucleotides. The record is from RefSeq and is a predicted model, not a curated record. Lineage: Eukaryota; Metazoa; Chordata; Aves; Passeriformes; Paridae.
CUCGCCCCGCGGGGCCGGCCUGAGACACGGGAAUUCCGCUUGGCCUGCGCGGGCCGCUCCCGGCUCUCGCUCCGGGCCCCCAGAACGGAUAGCGCAGGCCUGGAGUCGGCCAGAUAUGUCCCGCGAGCCUGGCUAUCCUCGCCGCGAUAGCUCCUUGUUUCUCGUUUAGGUUAAUUGUAAACGAUGUUUGUCACGUCUCCCCAGGCCAGGCACGGGACGCGCUGAUGAUCUGGCCAGGGACACGGAAUUUCGUAUGCUUACCCAGUCUUUCCACUGGUAUCAAAAUAUACUUGGCCAUAAUUAAGGUAUUCAAUUACUUCACCCAAAGUGUAGCUUGGUCAAACAAUAAGCAAAGAAAAAAAGAAGUGCCCCUGGAAACAGUUGAUCAACGUGACAGAAAAGGACUCUGAAGUAGUGCAAGUUUUCUGCACUAAUGAUAUCCGUGAAAACACUACUGAACAGCUUUCCAGGCACAGACUCCAAGCAAACAGUCCUUAACAGCUCCCUCCUACCUUAGCUGAGAGUACCACAGUGCAGACAUCUCCCCAUUAGUGCUGAUGGCUCACUCCUGGUGUUUCCAUGGUUCAGGUGCAGGAGCUCUUCCUGAUGUGCUGCCAACACUGACUCAAGUUGUUUUCUGAAGGCAUUAUCCAUUUUAUGAAGCUUUUC